CGUGUCCGCUCUGUAGCAGCCAUCGAACUCUCCAAGCGCACCGCAUCACGAAAGCACGUUCGUACACACGUGCACGCUCCUUCGCGAGAAACUAGUCCAGGCUCUUCGGUGUGCCUGUAUACUCACCACGCUCAUCUACUGCUCGACCCCUUCCUCCUACCAAUGAACCCGGACGACGGGUCCGAGGCGGGCAGCAUUGCCGAGCCGUUGCCGCAGGAGCAAAUCACGAUGCUGCUCAAUGUGCAGGACUUCCAGGAGAAGGUUGCACAAGACCCGGCAAACCUGUGCUGCGUGAUUGUGACGAGCACUUUAUGCCGCCAUUGCGGCAUUCGCCGCAUCCCGUACCCGAAGGUGGCUCAUCCACACAGCAAGACCAGCAGCAAUGAAGACGGCGAAAGCGAGGACGAGGAUGCUGACACCGACAGCGAUGACGGCUACGGCGACGAGGAGGACUCACAGGCCGAUGGUGGCGCAGGGCACAGUGCCCGCGCUGGUCACUUUUACCGCGAUAUCGAGGAGCACCUCGUUCACAAUCGCGACACAGCAACACAGCGGCGGCACACACGCUUUUUUCACGUCUGCGCGUGUAUGGAGGAGGAAACAUGCGUCGACUUUUUGAUCGCUGCGGACCCUGCGUACAGCUUGCUCAACAAGCAGCCCACCGCGCACGAGAUGGCGCUUCUGCAUAAGAAGGCUCACCAUCAGCUCAAGGAGCUCCUGAACUUGCUAGAGGUGCGUAGCACACCAUCAAUGCGCCUCUACCUUGCUGGGCAGCCGCUGCGGUACUCGGCGAUGCUGUCGAGCUGCAAUGACGCUGCCGCGCCGAAGGAUGUGACCGAGGAGACAGAUGUGUUGCAGGUCUCGGGGGCGAACUGGAUCAAAUGGUUUCAAGUGCUGCAAAACGCGGUGGUGGUGCGCAACGAGGUGAUGCGGUCGUACGACACAGAGGGGCGGGAGAAGGCCCGGGCUGCGCGUGCGGAGGCGCGCCGGCAGGCCCGUCGUGAGCGUAGGAAGCAGGCAGCCGCGGACGAGGAGGAGGGGGACGAGGAGGGCGCAGAGGACGGCUAAAAGAAGCACAGGGUGCCCGGCCUGCAAAGGAUGAAAGACGGGAAAGGACAGUGGCGCCCCACCUCCCCCGUUGCUGGGGAGACGGUAGACCCUCUCCCUCUCCUCUCAAUCAUUGGUGGAGCCUCUCCUUUUCUUCUCAUGCAAGCUGACUUGUGACUUUUAUGGACGCAGAGGCGUGAGUGUGUGUGUGUAUGUGCGCGUCUUUGGCGGCCAUGCAGUUAUAGCGUCAAAAAGAAGAGGCCGCAAGAUAGCAGAUGUAGACUAGCCGAUAUGCGCAACUUCAUGUUUGUCCGUGCGCGUGCGCGUCGGACGUUUUGUGUCGGCAAGUGUGUUGCCUGAGCAACACUGAACGAAGCAGAGAAAAGGGAUAGCGCCCCUUUGAGGCGCACCACUCGCGCGUUUCCAGGGACAAACUAGAUCAGGUAGACAUGCAAGCCCAAACGCGUAGUCUGACGAGUGCAGAAACCCCCUGUAGUGGCACCUUUGCGGUGCGUCGCUGAAGGUGGUAGCGAAGAGGAGUGUUCACAAGGGAAGCGGACCAUUGAAGAAGGCUGACACACUCCGUGCUCGCGUGAACACCCCUCAACAAUGGCGCCAUCGCAGGGGUAUGGUGAUGGCGUGUACAUGCAUUCCGUAUCGUUCUGCUCCGCCUUCGAGAACCACCCCGGUUUCGUUCACUCCCUCUAAUCCAUUCUCAACGCUCUCCUCCCUGAUUUUGGUUUCACAUUCACUACCCCUUCUUGAAACGCUCACCCGCAAUACAG
This 1832-nucleotide unclassified non-coding RNA is filed under the name Leishmania donovani. Its description in RNAcentral is "gene:LdHU3.34.4200(CDS-product:hypothetical_prote in_conserved)". Lineage: Eukaryota; Euglenozoa; Kinetoplastea; Trypanosomatida; Trypanosomatidae. The record is from RNAcentral.